RNAcentral lists this small nuclear RNA (188 nucleotides) under Leptobrachium leishanense (Leishan spiny toad). RNAcentral's name for it is "U2 spliceosomal RNA (ENSLLEG00000007542.1)". It matches the Rfam family "U2 spliceosomal RNA". From Rfam's summary of the family: U2 is a small nuclear RNA (snRNA) component of the spliceosome (involved in pre-mRNA splicing). Complementary binding between U2 snRNA (in an area lying towards the 5' end but 3' to hairpin I) and the branchpoint sequence (BPS) of the intron results the bulging out of an unpaired adenosine, on the BPS, which initiates a nucleophilic attack at the intronic 5' splice site, thus starting the first of two transesterification reactions that mediate splicing. Lineage: Eukaryota; Metazoa; Chordata; Amphibia; Anura; Megophryidae. The record is from Rfam by way of RNAcentral.
AUCGCUUCUCGGCCUUUUGGCUAAGAUCAAGUGUAGUAUCUGUUCUUACUAUACUAUCUGAAAAGCUCCCUAUCUGGGGGCCAUAUAUUAAAUGAAUUUUUAGAACAGGGAGAUGGAAGAAGAGCUUGUUCUGUCCGCUCCAUGCAUUGACCUAGUAUUAUAGUACGUCCAGGACAGGUGCACAAAAA